CUCCGGACGCAGCGGUUUAUCGACCUCUUCCUGGACUGAUUGUUUAAACGGAUUGCUUCCCAAUUGAAGUCAAAGACAAAACAGGAAUCGGUCGAUAAACCUCUGCAUCCGGU
This is a non-coding RNA of Nelumbo nucifera (sacred lotus), 113 nucleotides long. The record is from Rfam. Lineage: Eukaryota; Viridiplantae; Streptophyta; Magnoliopsida; Proteales; Nelumbonaceae.